GCGGCGUGCCUAAUACAUGCAAGUCGAGCGGACAGAUGGGAGCUUGCUCCCUGAUGUUAGCGGCGGACGGGUGAGUAACACGUGGGUAACCUGCCUGUAAGACUGGGAUAACUCCGGGAAACCGGGGCUAAUACCGGAUGGUUGUCUGAACCGCAUGGUUCAGACAUAAAAGGUGGCUUCGGCUACCACUUACAGAUGGACCCGCGGCGCAUUAGCUAGUUGGUGAGGUAACGGCUCACCAAGGCGACGAUGCGUAGCCGACCUGAGAGGGUGAUCGGCCACACUGGGACUGAGACACGGCCCAGACUCCUACGGGAGGCAGCAGUAGGGAAUCUUCCGCAAUGGACGAAAGUCUGACGGAGCAACGCCGCGUGAGUGAUGAAGGUUUUCGGAUCGUAAAGCUCUGUUGUUAGGGAAGAACAAGUGCCGUCAAAUAGGGC
Molecule: ribosomal RNA, 440 nt
Filed under: Bacillus amyloliquefaciens
Lineage: Bacteria; Bacillati; Bacillota; Bacilli; Caryophanales; Bacillaceae
Also listed under: 3 other names
Description: bacterial SSU rRNA
Rfam family: Bacterial small subunit ribosomal RNA
Source: RNAcentral